GAUGAACGCUCGCGGCAGGCUUAAUACAUGCAAGUCGUGGGGCAGCAGGACUGUAGCACUCCAGUUGCUGGCGACCGGCAAACGGGUGCGGAACACGUACGCAACUUACCCUGAACUGGGGGAUAGCCCGGGGAAACCCGGAUUAAUACCCCGUAAUAUAAUGGAGUGGCAUCACUUUAUUAUUAAAGCUCCGGCGGUUCGGGAUGGGCGUGCGGCUGAUUAGGUAGUUGGUUGAGGUAACGGCUCACCAAGCCUACGAUCAGUAACUGGUGUGAGAGCACGACAAGUCACAAGGGCACUGAGAAACGGGCCCGACUCCUACGGGAGGCAGCAGUAAGGAAUAGUGGGCAAGGGAGGCAACUCUGACCCAGCCAUGCCGCGUGGAGGAGGAAGGCCCUCUGGGUGGUAAACUUCUUUUAUAGGGGACGAAACCUGUGUAUUCUUACGCAGUUGACGGUACCCGAGGAAUAAGCACCGGCUAACUCCGUG
Molecule: ribosomal RNA, 489 nt
Filed under: uncultured bacterium
Lineage: Bacteria
Description: partial 16S ribosomal RNA
Rfam family: Bacterial small subunit ribosomal RNA
Source: RNAcentral